Molecule: ribosomal RNA, 1279 nt
Filed under: uncultured organism
Description: bacterial SSU rRNA
Rfam family: Bacterial small subunit ribosomal RNA
Source: RNAcentral
CGGCGUGCUUAUACAUGCAAGUCGAACGAGAAAGUCCUUCGGGAGUGAGUAGAGUGGCGAACGGGUGAGUAACGCGUAUGUAAUCUGCCUUUGAGAUUGAGAUACCCCGGGAAACUGGGGCUAAUACCGAAUGACGCAUUAUACAUGGAGUAUAAUGUUAAAGGGGGGCAACUCCCGCUUGAAGAUGAGCCUGCGUCCUAUCAGCUAGUUGGUGGUGUAAUGGACUACCAAGGCGAAGACGGGUAGCUGGUCUGAGAGGACGAUCAGCCACACUGGGACUGAGACACGGCCCAGACUCCUACGGGAGGCAGCAGUAGGGAAUAUUGCACAAUGGAGGAAACUCUGAUGCAGCGACGCCGCGUGAGUGACGAAGGUCUUACUGAUUGUAAAGCUCUGUAAGGAGGGAAGAACCGCCUGGUGUAACGGCCAGGUCUGACGGUACCUCCAAAGUAAGCACCGGCUAAAUACGUGCCAGCAGCCGCGGUAAUACGUAUGGUGCAAACGUUGUCCGGAAUCACUGGGCGUAAAGGGUGUGUAGGCGGAGACGCAAGUCAGGUGUGAAAUCCCUCGGCUCAACCGAGGAACUGCGCUUGAAACUGCGUUUCUAGAGUAUGUCAGGGGCAGGCGGAAUUCCCGGAGUAGCGGUGAAAUGCGUAGAGAUCGGGAAGAACACCGGUGGCGAAGGCGGCCUGCUGGGGCAUUACUGACGCUGAGGCACGAAAGCGUGGGAAGCGAACGGGAUUAGAUACCCCGGUAGUCCACGCCGUAAACGCUGGAUACUAGAUGUCAGGCAUAUUGAAAUGUUUGGUGUCGAAGUUAACGCGAUAAGUAUCCCGCCUGGGGAGUACGGCCGCAAGGUUAAAACUCAAAGGAAUUGACGGGGGCCCGCACAAGCGGUGGAGCAUGUGGUUUAAUUCGAUGCAACGCGAAGAACCUUACCCGGAUUUGACAUCCUCUGGACGGAUUUUAGAGAUAAAAUCUUUCUCUUCGGAGACCGGAGUGACAGGUGCUGCAUGGCUGUCGUCAGCUCGUGUUUGUGAGAUGUUGGGUUAAGUCCCGCAACGAGCGCAACCCUUACCUUUAGUUGCCAGCAUUCAGUUGGGCACUCUAGAGGGACUGCCCGGGUUAACCGGGAGGAAGGUGGGGAUGACGUCAAGUCCUCAUGGCCCUUAUGUCCGGGGCUACACACGUGCUACAAUGGUGUAGACAGAGGGAAGCUAAGUCGCAAGGCCAAGCAAAUCCCAGAAACUACAUCCCAGUUCGGAUUGGGGUCUGCAAC